AGAGUUUGAUCCUGGCUCAGGAUGAACGCUGGCGACGUGCUUAACACAUGCAAGUCGAACGAGGAAUUUCCCAUGAGGCUUCGGCGGAUUUUAAAGAUUCUGUAGAGGACGACGGGUGAGUAACGCUUGGGCAACCUGCCCUGCACACGGGGACAACAUCUGGAAACGGCUGUUAAUCCCGCAUAAGCGCUCAGCAUCGCAUGAUGCGCUGUGAAAAACUCCUGUGGUACAGGAUGGGCCCGCGUUGGAUUAGGUAGUUGGUGAGGUAACGGCCCACCAAGCCGACGAUCCAUAGCCGACCUGAGAGGGUGACUCGGCCACAUUGGGACUGAGACACGGCCCAAACUCCUACGGGAGGCAGCAGUGGGGAAUAUUGCACAAUGGGGGAAACCCUGAUGCAGCGACGCCGCGUGAGUGAAGAAGUCUUUCGGUAUGUAAAGCUCUAUCAGCAGGGAAGAAAAUGACGGUACCUGACUAAGAAGCCCCGGCUAACUACGUGCCAGCAGCCGCGGUAAUACGUAGGGGGCAAGCGUUAUCCGGAUUUACUGGGUGUAAAGGGCGUGUAGGCGGAGAAGCAAGUCAGAAGUGAAAUCCAUGGGCUUAACCCAUGAACUGCUUUUGAAACUGUUUCCCUUGAGUAUCGGAGAGGCAGGCGGAAUUCCUAGUGUAGCGGUGAAAUGCGUAGAUAUUAGGAGGAACACCAGUGGCGAAGGCGGCUUUCUGGACGACAACUGACGCUGAGGCGCGAAAGCGUGGGGAGCAAACAGGAUUAGAUACCCUGGUAGUCCACGCUGUAAACGAUGA
Molecule: ribosomal RNA, 804 nt
Filed under: uncultured bacterium
Lineage: Bacteria
Description: bacterial SSU rRNA
Rfam family: Bacterial small subunit ribosomal RNA
Source: RNAcentral